CUUGUCUUUGGUUUAGCUGAAUGCC
This 25-nucleotide non-coding RNA is filed under the name Arabidopsis thaliana (thale cress). The record is from RNAcentral. Lineage: Eukaryota; Viridiplantae; Streptophyta; Magnoliopsida; Brassicales; Brassicaceae.